UCGACCAAACAGGAAUGACAUCCUUAAACCCCGUAUAUCAAUCUGUAAAUCAUAAAAAUCAUAAGACAGCAAAGUUCAAAAUUAUUUCAGAACUUUCCCCUUGCCUAAAAUUUCAUGAAAGAUACAAUAAGAUGGCAAUGACACUGAAACAGCUAGAUCUUGACAUUUCAUUUCAAUAAAAAUUACCAGAUGAGAGAGGUAAAAGCUUACCGGCAUAUAAAAUCAGACUAAGGCUAUAGAGUUAUAACAUGCCAAAAGUGACAGAGGCUUAUAAUGGCACAAGAUAUUCAAUCUGUAUAUGGCAUUUAGACAAAAAUUACCAUGCCAAAAGCGACAAAGGAGAGCCUUAAAAUGGGGAUCAGACCAUGCCAUAAUGGACCCCAAUGACUCCUGAAAGGAUGGCUGAUACUGAACUGAAAACAACAAUAUGCAACACUUUCAGUCCCACCAGGAAGUGGGAAAGAUACUGCUGGUAUACACAAAAGUUACAGUUGAAGUUGUUUGUUUGAGAUGAGAAUUUAAACAAGCCUGAGCAAGCCUUCUGGUGCAAAGGGAUCAAGACACCAACUACGAGCAUCUUUUCAGUCGCCCUGCAUUUGGCGAUCUGUACAGUCCUGGACAGUCAUCCAAGAACAGAUGAACCAGAGAACAAGCUUCUCUGGGUGGUACUUCAAUUGACCUAAGAGACCAACUUAAACAAAACCUAUCUUUGAUCUUAUCCAAACAGGUUGUGUAAAGAGAUGAUUUAUAGCCCAAACUUGCCUUCAUUACAAGAGGGACCUAAGUGCCCUCUUACACCACACUGGACCUGAGAAUAAAAUGCCAAAACUUUUGUCAAAAAAAAAAAGGCUGCAAACCGGUUGUUGUAAG
Molecule: long non-coding RNA, 870 nt
Filed under: Phoenix dactylifera (date palm)
Lineage: Eukaryota; Viridiplantae; Streptophyta; Magnoliopsida; Arecales; Arecaceae
Description: long non-coding RNA (PDAC_LNC000324)
Source: RNAcentral